GGUGCUGUGGCUCGGUGUAGAGCAUCCUUUUCUGGUAAACUGAGGGCACAGUGGUUUAAGAGGAAGGCGUGGGUUCGAAUCCCACUAGCAGCA
Non-coding RNA from Mycena leptocephala, 93 nucleotides. Lineage: Eukaryota; Fungi; Basidiomycota; Agaricomycetes; Agaricales; Mycenaceae. The record is from the annotation of a GenBank genome assembly.